This 389-nucleotide ribosomal RNA is filed under the name Syndiniales sp. RNAcentral describes it as "partial small subunit ribosomal RNA". It matches the Rfam family "Eukaryotic small subunit ribosomal RNA", at positions 582 to 975 of the family's 1831-position model. The record is from RNAcentral. Lineage: Eukaryota; Dinophyceae; Syndiniales.
AUUCCAGCUCCAAUAGCGUAUAUUAAAGUUGUUGCGGUUAAAAAGCUCGUAGUUGGAGUUCUGCCAGGUGACGCUCGUCCGCCCAAGUGGUGUGUACAGGGCGUGCAUCUGGCCCUUUCAAGGGGAACGUGUCUGCUCUUUAUUGAGUGGUGCGAGAUCCUUGACUUUUACUUUGAGGAAAUCAGAGUGUUCCAAGCAGGCUCUCGUCGUGUAUAGCUCAGCAUGGAAUAAUAGCAUUGGACUUCGUUUCUAAGCUGUUGGUUGCAAGAAGCGAGGUAAUGAUUAAUAGGGAUAGUUGGGGGCGUUUAUAUUCCGUUGUCAGAGGUGAGAUUCUUGGAUUUACGGAAGAUAAACUACUGCGAAAGCAUUCGCCAAGGAUGUUUUCAUUG